Molecule: transfer RNA, 87 nt
Filed under: Candidatus Microgenomates bacterium
Lineage: Bacteria; Candidatus Microgenomatota
Description: tRNA-Tyr
Rfam family: tRNA
About the family: Transfer RNA (tRNA) molecules are approximately 80 nucleotides in length.
Source: RNAcentral
GCUGGGGUGGCAGAGUAGCAAUUGCACUUGGCUGUAGACCAAGCGUUCGCAAGAACUCCGGGGGUGCAAUUCCCUCCCCCAGCACCA